Molecule: small nuclear RNA, 126 nt
Organism: Acomys russatus (golden spiny mouse)
Lineage: Eukaryota; Metazoa; Chordata; Mammalia; Rodentia; Muridae
Source: RefSeq, a predicted model, not a curated record
GUGCUGUGUGAGAGGAAAGGAGGUUCAUACUCCUUUUGAUAAGGGUAGAAGGGGCCCUUUGUUCUAACACAAUACAUAUGGUUAAUACAUUAUACCCUAGUUUGUGGCAGCUGACCACUGAUUUUA